This 409-nucleotide ribosomal RNA is filed under the name bacterium. RNAcentral's name for it is "partial 16S ribosomal RNA". It matches the Rfam family "Bacterial small subunit ribosomal RNA", at positions 355 to 776 of the family's 1533-position model. The record is from RNAcentral.
UGGGGAAUAUUGCACAAUGGGCGAAAGCCUGAUGCAGCGACGCCGCGUGAGGGAUGACGGCCUUCGGGUUGUAAACCUCUUUCAGUAGGAACGAAGCGCAAGUGACGGUACCUGCAGAAGAAGCACCGGCUAACUACGUGCCAGCAGCCGCGGUAAUACGUAGGGUGCGAGCGUUGUCCGGAAUUACUGGGCGUAAAGAGCUCGUAGGCGGUUUGUCACGUCGUCUGUGAAAUCCUAGGGCUUAACCCUGGACGUGCAGGCGAUACGGGCUGACUUGAGUACUACAGGGGAGACUGGAAUUUCUGGUGUAGCGGUGGAAUGCACAGAUAUCAGGAAGAACACCGAUGGCGAAGGCAGGUCUCUGGGUAGUAACUGACGCUGAGGAGCGAAAGCAUGGGUAGCGAACAGG